RNAcentral lists this long non-coding RNA (1304 nucleotides) under Chinchilla lanigera (long-tailed chinchilla). Its description in RNAcentral is "lncRNA (ENSCLAG00000028063.1)". The record is from RNAcentral. Lineage: Eukaryota; Metazoa; Chordata; Mammalia; Rodentia; Chinchillidae.
GUCCAGCCCACCCAAGGUCUUAAGCAGCCCAGCACUUGGUAUUUGGAAAGUUUGCAGUGACCACUUCAUCUGAACAAGCGGCAUCCUCAAGUUCAGUUAAAUGAAGACUGAUGGAUGGCCCCGGAGAUCCCUGGCUUCCUCCCUCUGCUUCCUCAGAUAAUCCAGCUCUCCACAACUCCUUCUGCAAUGCUGUCCCUCCCUGAUUCCCGGAUUCUCAGCUGCACAAAGAGCUCUGCGUUCCUCCCUGCCUGCUCCUCAGAAGGUGGCAAAAAUGGCUAUUCCAGUAAAAGUAUAUUAAUUGUGCAAUUAAAAAAGAGAUGCAGAAUUGCAGCUGGAGGAAGUCGACCAAGGAAUGCCAAAUUCCCAGCUUCCCGAAGAGGUAAAGCUUAACCCUGUGCUGGUUUGCUGGUCGCCAGCCGCUUGCUCACUCCACCCAAGUGGAGGUUCAACGCUCUUGCAUUCAACACUGGGGCAUCACGAGGGGGUGGCCGCCUUCUCCUCGCUGGAUGCUGUGGCCUUUUCAAACCCCUGCCUGCUCCCUAGUGGUUCCUUCUUCAGCCUGAGCCAUGCCAGACACUCCGCAUUCACCAGAAUCACAGCUCCUCCUCUCAAGCGGAGAGGGAGGGGACGCCGAGCGGCUGCUGUCCUUCUGCACCGUCCUCGGGCUUCGCCAAACCACAGCCGGUGACUCUGAAUGAAAACAGGGAAGUCCUAGCCUCUGUUCUACCCUGUGGUCCUCACUCCCUUCCCUGCUGCCCAGCAUGCCUCAACCCAUCGAAAGCAACAAGGACAUGUCAGCUGUGGCUUCAACCACUGGCGCACAGCCAAAGAAGCAAGAGCUGCGAACAUCCUCCCUCAUCAGACAAGAAUUUCCCUCCUGCAGGAGGAAAAGUCCUGGCAUUGUCACUGGGCAGCGCUGGUCCUUGUCCACAGAGCAACUCAGACAGUUCCUGAAGUCUUGGGGUGAUCUGACACCUAGGCCUAGGUCACAUCAGGAUGGAUGGAUCCUUGGACAAGAGGGAGAACCCUCACUCCAACCUCCCAGAGAAGUUGAGGACACAUCAAACGUUCCUCAGAGCCUGCACUUCGAGGUCCUCUCUGCACAAGCUCCUCCUCUUUUGACCCUGAUCAUCUCAGGAACCACCCCAUCUGCUGGCUUCUGCGUGGGUGUCCUCUGCAGGGCUGACAUGUUCGCUGCCACCCUUCUGGAGGCACACAGCCUGCUUCUCAGAGGACCUCCUUCAGGGAGCCUCGUAUUGCUUCCUCCAACAUCACCAGCUCUGGAACAUGAGUGUACAACAUGA